This 253-nucleotide ribosomal RNA is filed under the name uncultured bacterium. RNAcentral's name for it is "partial 16S ribosomal RNA". It matches the Rfam family "Bacterial small subunit ribosomal RNA", at positions 524 to 776 of the family's 1533-position model. The record is from RNAcentral.
GACGAACCGAGCGAACGUUAUUCGGAAUCACUGGGCUUAAAGGGUGCGUAGGCGGGCACGCGAGUCAGGGGUGAAAUCCCACGGCCCAACUGUGGAAGUGCCUCUGAUACCGCGAGCCUCGAGGGGGAUAGGGGCGUGCGGAACUUCCGGUGGAGCGGUGAAAUGCGUAGAUAUCGGAAGGAACACCGGUGGCGAAAGCGGCGCGCUGGAUCCCUACUGACGCUGAGGCACGAAAGCCAGGGGAGCAAACGGG